This 463-nucleotide ribosomal RNA is filed under the name uncultured bacterium. RNAcentral describes it as "bacterial SSU rRNA". It matches the Rfam family "Bacterial small subunit ribosomal RNA", at positions 30 to 506 of the family's 1533-position model. The record is from RNAcentral.
UGAACGUUGGCGGCGUGUUUAAGGCAUGCAAGUCGCGCGACGUGUUCCCGCAAGGGAAUUACGAGCGGCAAACGGGUGAGUAACACAUUGGUAACCUGCCUUCAAGACGGGCAUAGCUCUCCGAAAGGAGAAUUAAUUCCCGAUAGUCAUGCGGGGUCAUAAGACAUUCGCAUGUAAAUCCCGUAAGGGGCUUGAAGAAGGGCCUAUGGCUUAUCAGCUAGUUGGUAGGGUAAUGGCUUACCAAGGCUAUGACGAGUACCGGGCGUGAGAGCGCGGACCGGCUCACUGGGACUGAGACACUGCCCAGACUUCUACGGAAGGCUGCAGUCGAGAAUAUUCCACAAUGGGGGAAACCCUGAUGGAGCGACGCCGCGUGCAGGAAGAAGCCCUUCGGGGUGUAAACUGCUUUUAUGAGGGACGAAUACGUGACGGUACCUCAUGAAUAAGAGGUUGCUAACUCUGU